This 229-nucleotide ribosomal RNA is filed under the name uncultured bacterium. RNAcentral's name for it is "partial 16S ribosomal RNA". It matches the Rfam family "Bacterial small subunit ribosomal RNA", at positions 15 to 236 of the family's 1533-position model. The record is from RNAcentral.
GAUCAUGGCUCAGGAUAAACGCUGGCGGCGCACAUAAGACAUGCAAGUCGAACGGACUUAACCAUUAGUUUACUAUUGGAGCGGUUAGUGGCGGACUGGUGAGUAACACGUAAGCAACCUGCCUAUCAGAGGGGAACAACAGUUAGAAAUGACUGCUAAUACCGCAUAUACCCAAGUGUCACAUGGCACAAUGGGGAAAGGAGCAAUCCGCUGAUAGAUGGGCUUGCGU